UAUGAUUUUGAUGAGGUAUUGAGUUGGAAAAGCAAAUCAUAGCCCCAGAGAUGCCCAAAGAAUAAGCAGCUCCCUUGUCCAUUGCUGGUGCUGGGGCUGGUGCAAAUUCUUGAGCAUCAACACUAGCAAAGAACAUUGCCACAACCAAAAAGAAAGAAACCAAAGCCUUGAAUGAGCUCAUUUGUGCCAUAGAGACAGAAAGAUUUGUAGCAAGAUUUGAAAUAUGUUAAAGAAGAGAG
Molecule: unclassified non-coding RNA, 239 nt
Filed under: Hevea brasiliensis (rubber tree)
Lineage: Eukaryota; Viridiplantae; Streptophyta; Magnoliopsida; Malpighiales; Euphorbiaceae
Source: RNAcentral